This 706-nucleotide small RNA is filed under the name Pan troglodytes (chimpanzee). Its description in RNAcentral is "retained intron". The record is from RNAcentral. Lineage: Eukaryota; Metazoa; Chordata; Mammalia; Primates; Hominidae.
AGAAGCAGAGAACAAUUUGGCUGCCUUCCGAGCGGACGUGGAUGCAGCUACUCUAGCUCGCAUUGACCUGGAGCGCAGAAUUGAAUCUCUCAACGAGGAGAUCGCGUUCCUUAAGAAAGUGCACGAAGAGGAGAUCCGUGAGUUGCAGGCUCAGCUUCAGGAACAGCAGGUCCAGGUGGAGAUGGACAUGUCUAAGCCAGACCUCACUGCCGCCCUCAGGGACAUCCGGGCUCAGUAUGAGACCAUCGCGGCUAAGAACAUUUCUGAAGCUGAGGAGUGGUACAAGUCGAAGGUGUCAGACCUGACCCAGGCAGCCAACAAGAACAACGACGCCCUGCGCCAGGCCAAGCAGGAGAUGAUGGAAUACCGACACCAGAUCCAGUCCUACACCUGCGAGAUUGACGCCCUCAAGGGCACUAACGAUUCCCUGAUGAGGCAGAUGCGGGAAUUGGAGGACCGAUUUGCCAGUGAGGCCAGUGGCUACCAGGACAACAUUGCGCGCCUGGAGGAGGAAAUCCGGCACCUCAAGGAUGAGAUGGCCCGCCAUCUGCGCGAGUACCAGGACCUGCUCAACGUGAAGAUGGCCCUGGAUGUGGAGAUUGCCACCUACCGGAAGCUGCUGGAGGGAGAGGAGAGCCGGAUCAAUCUCCCCAUCCAGACCUACUCUGCCCUCAACUUCCGAGGUGAGUGUCUGCUGGCAGGCGGA